UAUGGAGGGGAGUCAUUCCUGAGCAACAGUAGGAACUUUUUUCUCAGGGUUAAGUACCGUGCUGUCCUCCUUUAAACCAGUGAGAUGGCAGUCUGGGAGAAGGAUAUGAAAAAUAGAUGGGCUUAAAUUGAAACCUGGCAUCUGGAGCAGCUUUGGCAGACCUCGAGAUAAUACUUCAAAGUUGUUCAGCCCCACAAGCUCUACCUUACUUUAUUUGAAAGAGGAAAGCCAGUGAGGACCUGUGAACAAUCCAGCAGCUUCUGAAAAAUCUUCAUGCUAAAGGAUAAUCCAGAAUUCCCUGAAGAAGAACAUAGUGAAUGCUCCAGAAAUGCAGAUGACAGGUGGUGGCUGGACAGGGGCUGAAGAAAAGUUUCACUCUCCAUGACGUUUGAUUAGGCAAGGCUAGGUAAGUAUCAGGAAGUUAGCAAAUGUUUUUUAGUUACAAUAUUUUCCUUAGCAGGUAAUAGAAGAGUUAGGGAGACUUUGUUGCCUUUGGGUGAAUUAGGUUAUGUGGAGGAAGCAACUGUUUUGCUCCAAUAGUAAAAUCCGUGAGUUUUUACAGUGGUGGGGGGCUCAUGAU
RNAcentral lists this long non-coding RNA (580 nucleotides) under Corvus moneduloides (New Caledonian crow). RNAcentral describes it as "lncRNA (ENSCMUG00000019120.1)". The record is from RNAcentral. Lineage: Eukaryota; Metazoa; Chordata; Aves; Passeriformes; Corvidae.